This 567-nucleotide ribosomal RNA is filed under the name uncultured Alphaproteobacteria bacterium. Its description in RNAcentral is "bacterial SSU rRNA". It matches the Rfam family "Bacterial small subunit ribosomal RNA", at positions 124 to 710 of the family's 1533-position model. The record is from RNAcentral. Lineage: Bacteria; Pseudomonadati; Pseudomonadota; Alphaproteobacteria.
ACCUGCCCCGUGGUGGGGGACAACCCAGGGAAACCUGGGCUAAUACCGCAUAAGCCCUGUGGCCGUGGAGGCCAUUGGGGAAAGAUUUAUCGCCACGGGAUGGGCCCGCGUCGGAUUAGCUAGUUGGUGGGGUAACGGCCCACCAAGGCGACGAUCCGUAGCUGGUCUGAGAGGACGAUCAGCCACACUGGGACUGAGACACGGCCCAGACUCCUACGGGAGGCAGCAGUGGGGAAUCUUGGACAAUGGGGGCAACCCUGAUCCAGCGAUGCCGCGUGAGCGAAGAAGGCCUUAGGGUUGUAAAGCUCUUUCGCCCACGACGAUAAUGACGGUAGUGGGAGAAGAAGCCCCGGCUAACUCCGUGCCAGCAGCCGCGGUAAUACGGAGGGGGCUAGCGUUGUCCGGAAUUACUGGGCGUAAAGCGCGCGUAGGUGGUCUGCCAAGUCGGGGGUGAAAGCCCGGGGCUCAACUCCGGAAUUGCCUCCGAGACUGGCGGACUCGAGUUCGGGAGAGGAGAGCGGAAUUCCCAGUGUAGAGGUGAAAUUCGUAGAUAUUGGGAAGAACACC